CUAAAACUUCAUUCCCAAAGCUUGAUUAUUUAAAUUUAAAAAAAUCUCAAUUUCCAACAAAAUGAGGUUACCUUUGCAAGUAUGUUUACUGUUGCCCCUUUUAAAUAUAAAUGCUGCAGUAGGACGCAUAAGAGGCUUUCUAAAUAAGUGAUACUUUGUUUUCAUGGCAUGACCACAGGACUGAGGUCUAGCAGAAAAGCCCUGUACACAUUCAGGUGGCCAGGGCCAGGGCUCAGCAGUUCCCCAGAUCUGCAAGGCAAAUCUGGCCAUUUGGCAGGAGUGGUCAGGAGACGAUAACUGACCAGCUGUCCCCAGAUAAGGGACAGACAUUUGCAUCCCAGGACAGGCUGGCUGAUACUCAGUGAAACUGGGCAGUCUGAACCACUGUAACCCAUUUAGCCACGUAUGCAAACUAUACAUAAAUCACUUGUUAUCAAACAAUAACAAGUCUUGGCACAUCCAGGCACUGGAAUAAAAUAGUUCUUUCCCACUCUUGUCCCUCACCUCCCUACCAGUUCACCCAGUGGGCUGGAUGAGGCCUGUGCCAACCCAGCUGGGCGGGCAUUUGCACCCAGUAUGUUGUUUGAUUCAUUGUUAUGAGAGUUUCUGCCCUUCCCUGGCUCUCCGCUUCCUCCGUCCUGCAGCAGAUGCCGUUUAGCCCAGGUGGGUGCUGCAGAGUGGGACAGAGCCAUCCCGAUCCCACAGGGUGUGGCAGGGGUAGAGAUGGCCGCCAUUAGGGAACCCUCUGUCCUGGCCCCUCAGAAAUCAGCCCCAGGGAUGGCGGGCCGAGGGGAGCGCCUGUGAGAGAGGCUAUGACCGGCCACAGUGACACACGGGGGGAAUGGAAGAAAAACAGCCAUUCUGAGAGAGCUUUCCAGCAAGACGCCUGGCUGGUAAGAGCUCCUAUAAAAAGACAGAGAAGAUGCACCUCAAAAGAAGCAGAUGGAGCAAUUCAUGGGGGAUUCAGGAGCCUGGGGCAGGCACAGCUACAGCAGGACGUGCCGAACUGUUACUACUCCUUUUUGGCUGCAGACUACUGCCCCAGAGCUCUGCUGGAGGAAAGAAUCCUGUUCAUGGUGCCUCAGAAAGAGAUUUCAAAAUUAUGCCAGGCGGGCAACUCCUACUGUGAACAUUACAUCGUGGGAGAGUGUAAUUGAGAACAGUUUAUCGUGUUGCAGCAGAGGACCAGUGGGUGAGACCCUAGAUUGCCUCGGUGGUAAUUGACAGAAGACUUGUUCUGACAGGUUUGUGUCACUGUGUAAACAGGAAUGUUUGUAACUAUGCUGGAAAAGUGAAGAGUUUGUUAGUGGGACAACAUCAUACACAAAUGCCAG
RNAcentral lists this long non-coding RNA (1334 nucleotides) under Cyanistes caeruleus (blue tit). Its description in RNAcentral is "lncRNA (ENSCCEG00000022916.1)". The record is from RNAcentral. Lineage: Eukaryota; Metazoa; Chordata; Aves; Passeriformes; Paridae.